Molecule: non-coding RNA, 190 nt
Filed under: Metabacillus litoralis
Lineage: Bacteria; Bacillati; Bacillota; Bacilli; Caryophanales; Bacillaceae
Also listed under: 1 other name
Description: Bacillus litoralis 6S / SsrS RNA
Rfam family: 6S / SsrS RNA
About the family: E. coli 6S RNA was the first non coding RNA to be sequenced, but its function was unknown until recently.
Source: Rfam by way of RNAcentral
AAAGUCCUGAUGUGUUAGUUGUACACCUAGUUUUGACCUAACAUUUUUUCUACGGGAGCUUGUGUUUCUUGACAGAGUAAAUGCCUCUCUAACUCGUUAAAGAGGACUUACAACCUCUAAGAAUAAAGCACCCACCUGCUAAGGGCGGGAUCAAAACGAGGGAAACGGCGACGGCACGAUUGGGACUACU